RNAcentral lists this ribosomal RNA (301 nucleotides) under uncultured bacterium. RNAcentral's name for it is "partial 16S ribosomal RNA". It matches the Rfam family "Bacterial small subunit ribosomal RNA", at positions 509 to 807 of the family's 1533-position model. The record is from RNAcentral.
CAGCAGCCGCGGUAAAACGAAGGGGGCUAGCGUUGUUCGGAAUUACUGGGCGUAAAGCGCACGUAGGCGGAUAUUUAAGUCAGGGGUGAAAUCCCGCAGCUCAACUGCGGAACUGCCUUUGAUACUGGGUAUCUUGAGUAUGGAAGAGGUUAGUGGAAUUGCGAGUGUAGAGGUGAAAUUCGUAGAUAUUCGCAGGAACACCAGUGGCGAAGGCGGCUAACUGGUCCAUAACUGACGCUGAGGUGCGAAAGCGUGGGGAGCAGACAGGAUUAGAUACCCCCGUAGUCCCUGUCUCUUAUAC